AUAAUAACCUACACAAAUAUGUCCCUCUAAAGAAUUUGAUUUAUUUUCCGUUUAGGACACCUGAGUCAUAAUGGGACUGCUCCAACAACUUUAGAAUGAACAAAAGGACACUUGAGUCAUGAUGGGACUGCUCCAACAACUUUAGAAUGAACAAAACAAGGACACUUGAGUCAUGAUGGAACUGAUCCAACGACUUUAGAAUGAAGAAAACAAGGUAAGGCCAUCUUCUAUAGUUCUUUGUGAACCUGGAAGUCCCAACAAGGACUGCUUUCACUGCUGGACACUAGAAAGAGGUUCCGCAGCCUCUGUAGCAGAACCCUUAGGUUCUGUAACAGCUUCUUCCCACAGGCCGUAAGACUCUUGAACGCAUCAUAAUAAUUCCCUCCAAAAAUGGAUUAAG
Nerophis ophidion (straightnose pipefish) is the source of this 400-nucleotide long non-coding RNA. RefSeq lists it as uncharacterized. NCBI's taxonomy places the organism in Eukaryota, Metazoa, Chordata, Actinopteri, Syngnathiformes, Syngnathidae. The record is from RefSeq and is a predicted model, not a curated record. The transcript has 3 exons.